This 800-nucleotide ribosomal RNA is filed under the name Mammaliicoccus sciuri. RNAcentral describes it as "bacterial SSU rRNA". It matches the Rfam family "Bacterial small subunit ribosomal RNA", at positions 34 to 818 of the family's 1533-position model. Lineage: Bacteria; Bacillati; Bacillota; Bacilli; Caryophanales; Staphylococcaceae. The record is from RNAcentral.
CGCUGGGGGGGUGCCUAUAAUGCAAGUCGAGCGAACAGAUGAGAAGCUUGCUUCUCUGAUGUUAGCGGCGGACGGGUGAGUAACACGUGGGUAACCUACCUAUAAGACUGGGAUAACUCCGGGAAACCGGGGCUAAUACCGGAUAAUAUUUUGAACCGCAUGGUUCAAUAGUGAAAGACGGUUUCGGCUGUCACUUAUAGAUGGACCCGCGCCGUAUUAGCUAGUUGGUAAGGUAACGGCUUACCAAGGCGACGAUACGUAGCCGACCUGAGAGGGUGAUCGGCCACACUGGAACUGAGACACGGUCCAGACUCCUACGGGAGGCAGCAGUAGGGAAUCUUCCGCAAUGGGCGAAAGCCUGACGGAGCAACGCCGCGUGAGUGAUGAAGGUCUUCGGAUCGUAAAACUCUGUUGUUAGGGAAGAACAAAUUUGUUAGUAACUGAACAAGUCUUGACGGUACCUAACCAGAAAGCCACGGCUAACUACGUGCCAGCAGCCGCGGUAAUACGUAGGUGGCAAGCGUUAUCCGGAAUUAUUGGGCGUAAAGCGCGCGUAGGCGGUUUCUUAAGUCUGAUGUGAAAGCCCACGGCUCAACCGUGGAGGGUCAUUGGAAACUGGGAAACUUGAGUGCAGAAGAGGAGAGUGGAAUUCCAUGUGUAGCGGUGAAAUGCGCAGAGAUAUGGAGGAACACCAGUGGCGAAGGCGGCUCUCUGGUCUGUAACUGACGCUGAUGUGCGAAAGCGUGGGGAUCAAACAGGAUUAGAUACCCUGGUAGUCCACGCCGUAACGAUGAGUGCUA